This 712-nucleotide long non-coding RNA is filed under the name Triticum aestivum (bread wheat). RNAcentral's name for it is "long non-coding RNA (TAES_LNC010868)". The record is from RNAcentral. Lineage: Eukaryota; Viridiplantae; Streptophyta; Magnoliopsida; Poales; Poaceae.
UAAACAUAAAACAAUGAUUUUAAUUCACAGUUGACAAGCUCACAAUCACAACCACAUAUAAAUAGCAUGACUAUGUUUGCAAAAAUGGUAGCCUGACCAUAGUAAAUAACACGUUUACAUGUGUAACCAAGGGGCAAAUAGCAACUGAAAAUUAUUUAAAAUAAAGUACAGCGCCAAGUCUUCGAACAUGAUUUUAGUAAAUAAAAAGUGCACUGUCCACACAACCGCCAACCAGUAGCUCCAGGUCUUCAUUCUCGAGUGAUGACUGAAGUAGGUUCGUCCUACACGCGUUAUAGACCAAAAGAACAUGAUUUAAUUAAUUACACAGAGAAUCUUACAAUUUAAGUGAAAAAUAUCUGAAGUGCAAACAACAAGGUUGUAAUUUUCUUUACCAUUUGUUCUUCAUCAUCCUCUAGAACACUCUGAAAUUCUGCAAAGCGAGUGGAAUUCCAAUCACCUAAUGUCUAACCAACAAUUAUUAUAUAAAUAACAAGGUAUUUGCACAAUAAAAAUAAGAGGCAAGUGCAAAUAUUGAGUACCUAAUAGAUCCGCAUGAGACUAAUCUUGCGUACACUUGAGAGCUUCUGAAAUAUUAGGAGUAAGACUUGAGAUUCAGACGCUGGAGUGACUUGAGAUUCAGACGCUCCAUCUUGAGAAGCCAGUGAACCUUUCCAUAUCACAGAUGAGCCUUGCGCUUCAUCUUGAGAAGCCA